RNAcentral lists this ribosomal RNA (429 nucleotides) under Gemmatimonadota bacterium. RNAcentral's name for it is "Gemmatimonadetes bacterium partial 16S ribosomal RNA". It matches the Rfam family "Bacterial small subunit ribosomal RNA", at positions 355 to 776 of the family's 1533-position model. The record is from RNAcentral. Lineage: Bacteria; Pseudomonadati; Gemmatimonadota.
UAGGGAAUCUUCGGCAAUGGACGAAAGUCUGACCGAGCAACGCCGCGUGAGUGAAGAAGGUUUUCGGAUCGUAAAACUCUGUUGUUAGAGAAGAACAAGGACGUUAGUAACUGAACGUCCCCUGACGGUAUCUAACCAGAAAGCCACGGCUAACUACGUGCCAGCAGCCGCGGUAAUACGUAGGUGGCAAGCGUUGUCCGGAUUUAUUGGGCGUAAAGCGAGCGCAGGCGGGUUCUUAAGUCUGAUGUGAAAGCCCCCGGCUCAACCGGGGAGGGUCAUUGGAAACUGGGAGAGUUGAGUGCAGAAGAGGCGGGUGGAAUUCCAUGUGUAGCGGUGAAAUGCGUAGAUAUAUGGAGGAACACCAGUGGCGAAGGCGGCUAUCUGGUCUGUAACUGACGCUGAGGAUCGAAAGCGUGGGGAGCAAACAAG